CGCUUCGGGAGGGGCCUGCGGCCCAUCAGCUAGUUGGUAAGGUAAAAGCUUACCAAGGCGAAGGACGGGUAGGGGGCCUGAGAGGGUGGUCCCCCCACACGGGCACUGAGACACGGGCCCG
RNAcentral lists this ribosomal RNA (121 nucleotides) under uncultured bacterium. RNAcentral describes it as "partial 16S ribosomal RNA". It matches the Rfam family "Bacterial small subunit ribosomal RNA", at positions 216 to 334 of the family's 1533-position model. The record is from RNAcentral.